GAUGAACGCUGGCGGCGUGCCUAAUACAUGCAAGUCGAGCGAACAGACGAGGAGCUUGCUCCUCUGACGUUAGCGGCUGACGGGUGAGUAACACGUGGAUAACCUACCUAUAAGACUGGGAUAACUUCGGGAAACCGGAGCUAAUACCGGAUAAUAUAUUGAACCGCAUGGUUCAAUAGUGAAAGACGGUUUUGCUGUCACUUAUAGAUGGAUCCGCGCCGCAUUAGCUAGUUGGUAAGGUAACGGCUUACCAAGGCUACGAUGCGUAGCCGACCUGAGAGGGUGAUCGGCCACACUGGAACUGAGACACGGUCCAGACUCCUACGGGAGGCAGCAGUAGGGAAUCUUCCGCAAUGGGCGAAAGCCUGACGGAGCAACGCCGCGUGAGUGAUGAAGGUCUUCGGAUCGUAAAACUCUGUUAUUAGGGAAGAACAAAUGUGUAAGUAACUAUGCACGUCUUGACGGUACCUAAUCAGAAAGCAACGGCUAACUACGUG
This 497-nucleotide ribosomal RNA is filed under the name uncultured bacterium. Its description in RNAcentral is "partial 16S ribosomal RNA". It matches the Rfam family "Bacterial small subunit ribosomal RNA", at positions 28 to 507 of the family's 1533-position model. The record is from RNAcentral.